GUCUUUGUUAGCCGCUCGUUUCUGAGUACCUGUGCUUCUCUGUGCUUAUCUUCUGAUCGUCCUUCAAGCCCUGCUGCUUCCGGCUUUUUUCAAAUAUCUGGUAAUCCUUGAUGGUCCCAUCAAAGUCAGUAGACCCUAAUAUCUGAUAGGAAGUUUCACAAACAUGGGAAUUACUUGUUGAAUGAUGAACCUGAAAUUAUUUUGUUCAAGAUUUUGCCCAAGGUCACACUGCAGAUCUACCAGCCACAGUUAUGUCAUGUAAGCCAGUGCAUUUUCUUUGGGCUAUAAAGUCACAACUGAGAUGGCAAAGAGAUUGGAACGCAACUGUUCUCCACUUGGUUUUGAUUAGAGCCGUCGACUUUUCUUCCUUUUGGUUGGUUGAAGCAAAUAAUUAUUAAGCUUACCUGAAUUUCUUCUGCUUGUUUAAUUCACUUACAAAUGACAACUCAUCCUAGUAUUUUCAUAAAAUAGUAAAAUAUAGUGUUUCAAAACACUUAGAAGAUAUACAAG
Molecule: long non-coding RNA, 510 nt
Organism: Chinchilla lanigera (long-tailed chinchilla)
Lineage: Eukaryota; Metazoa; Chordata; Mammalia; Rodentia; Chinchillidae
Exons: 3
Source: RefSeq, a predicted model, not a curated record